CAUACCUCAGCACUGCACUGCGUUGAACUUGGUAGAGACAUCUCCUUCCUUUGUGCGCUUUGUCCUUCUCUUCUGUCUCUUUAAAAACUCCGAAAAUCAAAAAUCAAAACCUACAAAUCAAAAUUCUCUCAGAGAGAAACUUUUCUCAUUCUUUUGAGUUUUAAAUAAUACCCAUUGAAGGAAAAAAUCGUGGAGAUUGCUGGAUGCUCUUCUGGUUUCAGUUCCUCCUCUAAUGAUGUCUGGGCUAAACUUGUGUUUGACAGCAAGCUUUUCCUUGCUGGGAUCUUGGAUAUCGAUUUAUUCUUCACUGUUGCAGUACCAUCUGACUCAAGAUAUUCUGAUGUUGAGAUAAGAUCAAAUGAAAUGGUGAUCUGCUCUGAGAUUACAGCUUUUUCUCUUGAGAAGCAUGAAUGGAGCAAAAUAACUAGGAAUUCAAAUCGAAGUUCUGCUACGAUCCAAAAUAAGAGGUAAUUUGUAUUUCCUUGAACAGAUCAUUUUUUAGCUGUGCAAUUCUUAUUUCUUGUCUGAGAGGUCCGAAAUCAAUCCUGGGUACUAAGAGCUGAUAAAUCAGUUCAUCAAUUUAUAUUUUAAGGUUUUCCGAGUAAAGUUUUAAAUAGGUUUGUCUUCUCUCAAAGUAAGGAAGUAGAUGGUGCUAUUGUCCUGUAAAAUCCGAAAAUCUAGUUUCCAAUUGCUGAAAGAAGAUUCUUACAGGCAUGGUGGUGCUUUUUGCAUUAUUAGAGAUCGAGGUUGAAACUUAUUUUUCAUUUGUCUAAUAUCAUGGAGGAGUUGAUUUAUGUAUAGAGAUUGAUAUAAUUAAGUAGUAACCCUCCAGAAAUCUCAGACAUGGAUUUCUAUGUUAUCGACUCUUACUAGACAAUUGACUAAAUCACAGGCAAAGGGUUGCCUUCUUGUGGGAGACAAAGAGCUGUAUUUAGUUGAUGAAUCAUAUUGCUUAUAACUCUUGACAAGUGCAUGUAUUUUCAAUCUGAAUGCUCUGAUUUCAGAGAUGGGAACAUGGAAUGGCUUCAUUUGGGAAUGGUCCUUAUCAUGGAGGAGGAGACUUUGGGACUAGGAAAAGGUAGAGAUCACAGAAAGGUGUAUUGGACAGAUGGGAAGAACAUUGCAGGAUGUUAUCUCAGAUUGGAUUGGGAAGUUGAACAACAGAGAAAUUGAUCGAACUAGGAUGCCAUUGAAUCUUGCUGAGAUGAUAACAGUUGGAACACAUGUUUGCAAGUAAGGAUGGAUCCUUUCAUUUUGGAUGUUAAAUUAUUUCAUGAAGUAAUAUACCUCCUUUUCAUGGGGGUUGAAACAGACAUUGAUAUUUUUAGUUUAGGGUGGGUUCAUGUUUGUGUUUUCUAAAUCUUCCAAGGACUAGUGAAAUUCUUGACGACAAUUCUAUACUGACAUAACUUAGAGAGCAGCUAAAACCACUUUCCAACAGGUAAACAGCUGAGUAGUAUAAACAUUUAUGGGAAUUUGUAGUCCUCUUGAAAGUCACAGCUGCUCAGCUACCUUCUGUGGAUGGUACUGUGUUUCAAUUUUAAAUCUGUCUGGGAUUUGAUUUUC
This is an RNA transcript of Populus nigra (black poplar), 1566 nucleotides long. RefSeq lists it as uncharacterized. Lineage: Eukaryota; Viridiplantae; Streptophyta; Magnoliopsida; Malpighiales; Salicaceae. The record is from RefSeq and is a predicted model, not a curated record. The transcript is spliced from 4 exons.